GAAGCUCAAGUUCACCAUGAGCCACGCAGUAAGCCAUGCUUUAGCCUCUGACCUGUGCUCCAAUUUUGGUACAAUGAUUUCUGCCAUGUUCUCCAACAGGGUGAGGAAACAGACAGCACUAAGAGAAAAAGCUGGAACUCAAAACCAAAUUAACUCCAAACUUAAGUUUUCCCACUUCGACAAGGAUGUAUGUCAUAAAAGUUGGAUGCCUUCCUUUUAAGACAUUUGAAUGGAUCACCAAAUAAUUACCUACUUUUCUCUCACAACUCAGAUAAAUAAUUAAAAGGAGAUAUACACAGA
RNAcentral lists this long non-coding RNA (300 nucleotides) under Pan troglodytes (chimpanzee). RNAcentral describes it as "lincRNA". Lineage: Eukaryota; Metazoa; Chordata; Mammalia; Primates; Hominidae. The record is from RNAcentral.